Molecule: long non-coding RNA, 11808 nt
Filed under: Mytilus galloprovincialis (Mediterranean mussel)
Lineage: Eukaryota; Metazoa; Mollusca; Bivalvia; Mytilida; Mytilidae
Source: RNAcentral
AUUUAAAUCUCCAUUUAUGAUGUCACAAAGAAUUCUACAAUGUAAAAGGUAAGUUGGUGUUGCAUUCAUAACCUUUUCUCCGUAAAAUUCCUUUAAUUUUUGAAGAUGAAAUGUAAAAAGAAAUUAAUAACGAAAUCUAUUCUAAAAAACAGAAUGUCUUAUUUGACAUUGAAUUCCUUGGAAUAAGUUUUCUUCUAAAACAAACAUUCGAAGAAACUACAUCGAUCAGUCCACGUGGAUCUAUAAUGGAAUACAUUUGUUAUGUUCUGGAUGGUUCUCUAGAUAGCACUGCAUAACCAAAACACCACAUGGGAAUGUCGGAUCUCCGAUAGUACUGUAUAACUAUAUGGUAUUAUUUCCCCAGUAUGCUGUUUAUUAAAACAAUGACAGUUUUGUAGUAAACUUCCUUACACUUAUUUUUAUUUUCAACAAAACGUAUUUGUUUGUUCAUAUAAAUGAAAAUAUAGCCUGUACAUUAUGGGUUACAGUCAUAUAAUUUACCCGGACUCGGAAAUAAAACAAUCAAAAUACUGGAUUUGAUACUUCGAGCCGAAAUCUUGUACUACGAGGACCGAGUAACGUUUUCUAAUUUUCUAACCAAACGGAUAUAUGACUUUUGUGAAGAUUCUGCUUUACACUUGAGCAUUGGUGUUCUAAGACUGUUCUGCUAGUACUGGCGUUCAAAAUAUUCAGAAGUUAUUGCAUGAAAUAUCAGUUGGGUUUUCAUUUUCAUUAUUUUUGUAUGGUCACUUGUAUAUUUUCAUCUUAAUUGGUGCUGUUCAGCCUCGUUUGUCGUCUGCAAGAAGCUGGUGGUGUAGUAAAUUCUCAACAAUAUUUUGUUGGUGUGUAGUAUAUUUCCUUAUUUACUCCUUCUUCUCACAUUCAAUGAUACUCAUUUUCUCUUUAUAUAUGAUGUUUUAUGAAAUACAUUAUCUUAAGGCUGUAGUAAAGGAAUUUUAAAGAACCAUAGUUUGACAGCUAGUUUAGAGUUUUUGAUGGUUUCUGCAUGUGCAGCUACUUUUUCUUCUUCUUUCAAUUAUCACUAGGCAAUUGUUUCUUCAAUUUUCAGAUAAUUUAUCUUUCCCCAGAAUAUUCAAUUGUCGUAUUUGAUCCUCAUAAGUCAUUUCUAGGUAUACCAUUUGCAAUUUUGAAGAUCACAUAUACAUAUUUUUAUUUAUUAAUUGUUUCAUUCUAAAUAAUGAUACAAAUAAACAAAUAAACGCCCAAGAGUCUGCAACUCUGCUUAUGAACUCUCUUCCAAUAACUUGUCUUUUAACAUAGCUAUAACCUAUAAUGAGUUUGCCUCUGACGCGGUGAUUACGUUUAACUCUCCCUUUAGAACUUUCUUACCAGAGCUUAGCCACUGUUCUUUAUGUCUGUUAAAGCUGUAACUCUGUUGCCGGUACAUCUUUUCUUAUUACAGGUUUGUCUAUGUUUUGUUCGCUAAUGAAACAUCAAUUGGUGCAGCUUUGAUAUGGAACAUUUGCUUAUAGAUGUAUUCCUAUAUGAGUUUGUCUAUAUCAUAUCUGGAACUGUAAUUAUAAAGCUUUUUCUAGAGAUUAUCUUUAUUGUGUCUAUCAGUUUCAUAUCGGCAAUACUAUUUAUGGAACAUUUUUUUAAGAGCUUGUCCUUUGAUAUUUGUCAGCAACGUAUAUCUUCUUGUUUUAUUGGGGCUGUACAGUGUUGCUUAGAUUGUUUCAGACAUAUCUCUUGUCACAUAGAACUGUAUUAUAACAUUUUCUUCUUAUUGUUAACUCUAUGUCCAUUUAUUUAUAUAAAGCAAAUUAUUUACAGAGAGCAGACAUAAGUAUUGGUUGGGAAGACUUAUAUAUAUACUACACCUCAUAGUAUAUUUAUGGAACUGUGUGUCUACCCUCUUGGUCAAUACCACCACACGUUGUUACGGCCUCUUACGUUUCUUUUAAGGGUUAGUUUUUAAAACCUCCAAUGAUUGCAUUGCUUUAUACCACCACAUGUUAGACAGCCUCUUACGUUCCUUUUAAUGGUUAGAUUUUAAAACCCAUACUGAUUGAAUUGCUUUAUGGUUCUAGUCUUUAAAUUAUGUAGCAUUUUGUGUUUUUCCCUGUAAUAUGUUUUGGAUUUAAACAUUUGAAAACACAGGCAUUUUUUUUCCAAAUAUAGACAUAAUAUUCCAUCCAUGCUUCUGAUAUUAUAGUAACAAUCUAAUGGGGAUUUUUGAAUAAUAUCACUUGAACAUGAUAAAAAACAUAUAAAUUGUUCUGAAAAAAGAUUAUACUUAUGUGAAAAUCUAUAUAAUACUUAUUUUCUAUUAAAAGCCUAAACAUAUGUUGCCAAUGUUACGCCAUGCAUGUUGAUUUUCUACAUUCCGAUCAUUUUUGUUGACGGAUUUUAUCAAUUUUCCUGAUUUGUAUAUAACUAUGCAUAGAAACGCACGAGGAAAACUGGAAAAGUAACAGAUUGACACGUUCUUGAAUAAGAGUUGAAUCACUUAUCCACAAAAGCAGUAAGGACAAUAACGUCCACACGUGACCCAAAACUUGAAAAUUAUUAAGUUACAAUCGAUGUUCGAUCUUAUAUGAUUUGAUUAAGAUAAUUACAGAAAAUACAUAUUUUUUUUCACAUUUAACAAACUGCCAUGACCACAAUGAGUUGGGGUCUACUACAAGUAUUGCUGGUAUUUGGGUUCAUUUCAUUUCUGUGUUUUUACAAGGAAGUAUUUAACCAUGCCAACAUUAUUUUUGAAAAUAAACCAUAAAACCGGCAUUUAACAACAGUUCGUAAUGGUUCAAAGACGUCAAACUAAAAUUGUCCCAGACAUGCGUAGGAGGAUUUCAUAUUGACAAUGUUCUUUACAACUGAUCAUCGGUUUUUAUGAAUUUUAAAUGAGAAGUUUGAAAGAUUAUAUUUGCCCAUAUAGAAGUAUAACACGUUGUUAUACAUUAUCUUAUAUAUUGACGUAUAUUUUAUAACAUUUGACGUAAAGAAAUAUAUUUGCACAGUUUUAUUGUGAUAACGAAUCAAUGUUUAAUCAAUGUUUCAGUGAAAUGCAUUUGUUAUAUUUUCCUCGAGAAUUAGCAUAAAAAAUAAGAAGGGUCGGUUAAUAUUAUAUGGAAAAGUGCCAAAGUGACAUCAACCACAACACAUCAAGACAUCACAAGUUCAGGUUUAAACAUAUAACUAUGAGUGACCAUAUCCUACGACCUAAUAUGUACACAUUUGUUAUCCGUUGUGUCCAUGGUUAAAAGUAAAAUUUAAAAUCAUUGCCAUAUGCAUUUCCAUUCUUGAUCUUAGAAGGUUAUUCAAUAAGCUGUGAUUGAUAUGAAUACGACAAGUGUAUGAGUAGUACCUUUUUGGAUACACUUUUAAUGUUUCAGAGGGAAAUAACUGUUUUAAGAACAUGCAUAGGACACAGACACCCUGACUCUAAACCAUCACCAAAAAAAACCAAACUAAAAUCACUCAACACUCACUUAAAUUUGGUACCAGUCAAAUAUACUAAAACUAUCUUUGCAAACAAGAGUGAUAUUUGAUAUUGAUUUGAAAUGUUCGCAUCGGACUCAAAAUGAGAAACGUAGACAUAUUUUUUUAUAUAAGAAAUGACGAGAAUGUGAUGUGUUACUUCGCUCUAUUUACAUAUAUGAAUUUUCAGUUACAUGCAUCCUUCAUUGGGUUGCAACAAAUGAUGUUUACUAUAGGAAAUCAAAAUAAUUCAUAUUAUGUAUAAUUUUCCUUUUCAGAACACAAAUACAGAUAUGUAGAGAAAUUGAAAAGAAAUGCAUAAAUGUUUAAAGGUAAGUUUUCAAGAGGUAUUUGUAUAACAUUAUUACUUAUAUUAUACAUCAAACGAAUCAAUAGUAGAUAAUGCUGAAAUGAAAAUUGCAAUGGUUGUUGUAAACAUAUGGUUUUUUUUAAGUCGAAAAAGCAGUAACGAAUACUUAGAUUUGUAAGGUUUAGUACAGCAACGAAACAAGUUGCAACAAAAAGGGACAAGGAGGCGAUAACUUUUAAGCUGAACUUGAUCGGUAACUACAAGAUUGAAUCAUAUUUUGAAUAUGAGCUUCAAUCUAUGCAUCACAAUCACAAUCUCUGAUAUAUUUGUCUGACAUAAAUCUACUAUAGUGUAUCCCUCUGCAGGGACUUUCUAUACUUAGUAUAGAAAGUCCCUGCCCUCUGUUUUUUUUUAUGGAACAAUAAGGCAUUAUACCAAAGUAACUGUUAAAAUGUAAACUUCACUUUGGUCAUGUAAACAUUUGAAUUAUACAAGGGAAAAUUUGUGUGUCUACCGUAUAAUGUCUCUACUUGAAGACCUGUCCAAUAUAUUUAACUUCAUCGAAAAGUAGCCAACUGGCUCUUAAAUAACCAGUUUGGAAAUAUUGUUGUCCCCAAAAAGAACAAACGAUGCACCCGAUAUGUCUGCACAAUAUGCACACCUUGGUAAUAACACUAUUGUUCGAUUAAGAAGCAGCUUUGACUUCAGUUCUACUCUUUACUUUAUAAUCCUGGUACCUUUGAUUUAAAGAAAACACCAUUCUAAAUCUGAAAAAAAAAACGACAAUUUUAAUUCUCUCUAAAUCAUCAAAAUGGAGAAACUCGAACAAUCUUUCGAACUACCUGAUUAAAUGUCUGGUCAUUAUUUGCACCUUCACCUUAAGAUUACAAAGUAGCCUUUCCUGACCAUCAAGUUGGACUCCUUCGAUACGUUUAAUUAUUUAGUCUUGUCUUAGUAAAAAAAGAUGAUUUCAGUCAAUGCUACAUCAUCCCUAUACAUAUCAAUACUGGAAUUAUUCAGUGUAAUUAAGUACUAGGAAUUCAUUGAUUUUGGAACACUUUUUUGAUAGUAAAAGAAUACAAAUUCCAAAAGAGGGACGAAAGAUACCACGGGGACAGUCAAACUCAUAAAUCGAAAAUAAACUGAAAAAUGAAAAAGACAAACAGACAAACAAUAGUACACAAGACACAACAUAGAAAACUAAAGGAUAAACAACCCUUAUCGCAUCAAACACUAGGGGUGAUCUCAGGUGCUCCGGAAGGGUAAGCAGAUCCUGCUCCACAUAUGGCACCCGUCGUGUUGCUAUGUAAUAACAAAUCCUAACCUUCCUUAACGCGCAUCUGGCGUAUAUACUAAAUUUAGUCCUGGUAUCUAUGAUGAGUUUAUUUACAAACUAUAUAUUCAAAAAAGGCAUUCAGUACAUUGUUUGUGGCAUUCGUAUGAUUGUUCUUUUCUGUUCUGAUUUGAACAUUCAUCUUUAAACAUGAUCCCAGGACAGGUGUAUCGAUAGUUUUUUAUACCAUUGUUUCAAUAUUAACAACAUAUUGGUUUAUGAUCACUGAAAUCUGCAAAAAGAAAAGGUUUGGUAAGACCAUUAUGUGUCCCUUUAUAACGAUUACAUACAGUUAUGUAAAUCAUUUAAACAAAUGAAAUGUUCAGAUGAUAACAGUAGUGAUACACUAUAAUAAUUUUUCCUUCAUAUUUUUGCUUUAGGUUUUCAAUAUUUUUACAUUCAAUGAAACUAUUGAAAUUCAAUAAAUGUUUUAUUUUCAUGUCUUUCAAGCUUUUUGAAUUCAAGGAAAUUGUUAAAAUGCCAAAAACUAUUUUAAGUCUUAUAGUGAAAAUUUCAAAAUGUAGAAUAGGUUUCCCAAAGAUAUAUUGGUCUACAAGAAUACUCGAGAAUAUAUGAUGCUGAUGGGAAGCAAGAUAAUUUUUUCCAGUGAGCUUUUACCUUACUAUAGGGAAAAAUAAAAUUUGGAAAUUGAUUUCUUUUUAAAUUGUUCAAAAAUUUGUGAAGACACACACUAGUUGCUUUUCACCUAUAAUCAAUGAAGGCUUUAUUAAUUCAGAUUGAUAAACAUAUUCAAGAAAUAUUGACUAUCUUUGUUAGGGGUCACGUACUUGUUUAGGAAGAUUAAAAAGUCUGAAAUAAUUACAGAGCAACAGAAAAACCAUUAAUGAUUUAUAAAUUAAAGGUUUGAAAAAAAUCUUGUUUUUUUCCAUAAAAUAUUGUAAUGGAAUUCAUUGUUACUUAUAUUGAUCUCUCCCCGGGAUAACAAUGGUAACAUUUCUUCCAACCGGAAGUAACUAACUUAAUAUGUCCGUUGCCUGAUUGGUUUACGUAGUAAUCUCACGUGUAGUUUUAUAUUUAUGGAAUUUAUUCCGGAAAUAGUUCUUGAUUCAUAAGAUAGAGAUUUUCCAGAAUAAAUUAAGAAAUUAUGAAAGCUGCUAGUUCGAUUUUUUUUUCCUUUUCAUAUCAUUGUUUCAAUUAUUAAUAGGAACCCGUCACAUACUUCGACUCCUGGUAUUUAAAAGCAAGAAGAUUCUUAAUCAAAAACUAUAUCUUAUUCGACAACAAGAUGUACCAAAAGGAAGAAUGAUUCACUUAUCAAAUUAACUUUCAGAGUCAAAUUCCAGUAUUUCAACGCUGAUUUCCAAUAUACUCAUGGAUGUCAUUCGGUUUAACGCGAGAAAUGAUCGUGAAGAAUAUCUAACGACGGUCAAGUAUUGGGUGACGAUCGUGAAAGCUCUGGUACCAGAUCAUGAAAGACAUUUAAUGUUAAUGCUAGUUCAGAAUCUGUGAAAAAAUCGCUUAAUUUUCAAAACGCGGAACAAAUCCGAACAAAAAAUGUGUCUGUCAAAAUGAUCCAACUUUCUCAAAAUUACUGUGCAAUAAGAUAAAGAAAAUAUGCAGUACUUUAUGAAAAAACACAAAAGGCGCAAUGCAUGUCUACGGAAUUAAUUAAAAAGAACACGCAAAUUGUACCUAUAAUGAUCAUAUUUCAUAAUAUCAUGAUAUAUUUGGAAUUUAAUCUUUGAUGUAUCUGGUAGUACAGUAAAAUAAAAGUAUACUCUUCCCUUUAAAGCGUUUAUUUGUUUAUGAAAACCUUGAAUUUAGUUGAAUUUUCAUCAAACUUGAUCGUGAAAGAUCAUGCAACCCAUUAUUGUGAUUGUGAAAGAUAAUGCGUGACGAGACUUAAUACUAGUAAUUAGAAAUCAAUAUUUCUUUAACCGUUUGAUAUACCAGCAACUGGUUGAAUCCUGUAACUAUUUUGAUAAGGAUGAACAUUAAAGCUAUUUUUUUCAAUUCAACACUUUACUCGAAAGGUAAAAAACAACUUAAAACGUGUCAAAUCAAUGUGAAAAAUUCAGCUCUGAGAAUUGGUCUAGUAAAAUUCAGGAAGUCAACCACUAUUUAGCCAAUAUUAUGGGUAUGCAACUUUCAAACCAAAAUGUUAACCAUCAACCAAAAACCUAUAGCAAAACAGCAUCUUUCAUGAACUAUUCGAUAUUGAACGAUAACCAACAUUUUGUGCAACAGUACCUUAUUAAUUUCUAUGUAUCUUCAUAUACAACGUACAGUGUAGCAGAUGUGGAAUGAUUCCCAAUGAGAUAACUAUAUACUACAGACUUAAGAAUACUACAUCGUAAAUGCCGAAAUGUUUCGUCUGCUUUAUUCAUAAUAUUAUAUCUGUAAUAUUAAGGAUUUUUCUAGAAGUGUCAAAUACACUUAAUAUUGUCAUUGGUUCAUAAAAAGAGGGCAAAGUCAGAUUUACCAUGCCAUACAGAUCUCUACAAACAUCCUGUACACCAAAUAUAGGUGUUCCGAACUGACAAACGUAAAAGUUAUGUUUGGUCAAUUUAUCUGGAACAUAAGGUGGAAAAUAUAUGAACCCUGACGUCGCGACUUCUAUAAAAAAGAAUUUUGCAAUUGUACAGGAACUGCUUGGUUUCUUUAAACGGAUAUCGCAUUGAUAUUGUUGAGGGUGUACUCCAUAACCUCAAAAUGUCCGAAAACAAUAAUAUGCAAUUAUUUGAAAAGUCAAACUUCUUAUUUGCUAUAAGAUUGAACAACAUCAAAAGAUACCAUAGGAAUUCAAACCUUGCUAUUUCUUUAAUUGCAAUUGGCAAUAACUUCACAAUUUUAUUCAUUUCCACAUCAUCUUCACAAUAUUCUUGUGUUGUUUCUGCUGUUUAUUUGGCUCAUCUACACUGGAUUGCUUUUUUCGGCGUUUUGUUGACCAUUGUCUUUUCUUAUUGCCGAGGUUGUUAUUUCUUUUUAAUAUGAAAAUGCUUAAAUUAUUUGAGGAUCUUUGAUAAUCUAAUUUUUCUCAAGAUUAAUAACAAAUAUUAAUUAUCGUAUAAUUGAAGAAUAAUUUUAACGUCUUCGUAGCAUCAGAUCUUUCACGAUUCUUUUCACGAUCUUCAAAAAGCGGUACGUGAUCUUUCACGAAUCGAAAAAACAAUUUUGUGUAAAUAUUUCUCUUUUUACCAAGUUUAAGAUUAUGUUUAUACAAAAUAACUAUGAGAACCAUUUGAUUGAUUCAAAUAGAAUGCCCUUAUUCGGAUAAAGGUGGUUUAUUUUAUUCGAAUUUGUAAAAACUAAUGUUUGUUUACAUUUUUAUGUCAUUGAAAUGUCGAGAAGCAAUCUACCUUUUGUUGUUUUUUAAAAACUAUGUACUUUUAAAACUGGAUUUUCUCACAUACUGAUCAUAAUGUUGAACUAUUUUGACAGACAGUUUUAUUUUGUUAUAAAUUUGUCCGUGUUAUUAAAUAAAUAAGAUUAUUUACUGAUCUUUCAUAUGUAUUCUCGAUUAAAUGUCUUUCACGAUUCGGUAUCAGAGCUUUUACGAUCGUCUCGCAAUACUUGACCACCAUUAGAUAUUCCUUCAUGAUCAUUUCUCUUGUUAAACCGAAUGACACCCGUGAUACUAGUACUAUAGUAAUUAAUCUAUUGAUCAUUUUCAAUAGGUUUAUAUGUUGUUUUUCUUGAAGCUGUACUGCUCCGGUUUUAAAAAGUGUCAGACCUUUACCAAAGAUUGCAAGAAAACCUCAUGGGAUUUCGUUCAGCCAAUAAUAAAACACGUUUUUUGUGUGUGGAAUAAAAGUCUUCUAAAGCAUGCACUAUCGAUGAUAUACUAGUACAUUAAUGUCUCAACCAGAAAUGUGUCUUUAUUAAAGAUUAUAACAUUCUCCUUGUUGACCUAUCUAAUCACUCUCUAAUUACAACAUUCCUAAUUUUAAAUCUUCUUGAUACAAACUAUGAUAGAACUCUAUGGUACACGUGAUUAUGUAUCAAAAGGCUAACUGUACAACAAUAAAUUACCUGCUUAAGAUUCAGUAUUGUUCGGUUUUGAUCACCUUCUGUUGUUGGGUUUAUACCUCAUUGAGUUGGUAUCAUGAACAAAGGCAAUAGUAUUAUACCGGUGUUCCAAAGUCAUAAACCGAUUGUUAGAAAACAAAUCCCGCUUACAGACUAAAACCGAGGGAAACACAUCAACUAUAAAAGGAAAACAAAGGAACAACAGUAGCACUGAAUAAAACAUAAAAUCACAAAAUUACUGAACUCCGAUGAAAAUCAAAAAAAGAAAGUCCCUAAUCAAUUGACAAAAUACAGGCAUUUUCUUAUGUGGAUUGACCAUGGUUUUAAACUAGCUCAACCUCUCACUUGUAUGAAAGUCACAUCAAAUACCAUUAUAUUGAAAACGAAGUGCAACAAAAACAAACGCCAACAGUGUUAGAAACGGACUACCAUAUUCCUAACUUGGUACAGGGAAACUUUAAGAAAAAUGGUAUCAUGUCUUUUUUCUGCAAAACUCGAAAUGUUAUGCUUUUGAUUCCUAUUUUUUAAGACAAAUUUACUAUCAUAACAACCCCUUCCGUUUAAAAAGUUUUGAAUUAUCGUGCAUAUAAGGUUAUCGUUUAAUAUUUUCAAUUGUCUUAGACUUUGUUAACAACAGUUUCUGUUUAUCAUGUAUCUAUGUAAUUAUUGAUAUUGUAUUUACUUAUCCUUACCCUAAUCAGUGUUGAAUUCCAAACAGGAUCCAUUAGAAUCUUUGAGAAAAUAAACCUUUGCAUAUCUAAUACAAACUUAUAGCUUUUCGUUUUUGCAGAGAUGAUUGUCCAAAAAAAAGGGGACGUAAGGGAACGUUAAGUAUCAGACAACAAGUUAUAUAGAGGCAGAAGCCUACCUUAAAAUGAAACACUUUAUCGGCAGAAGUAGUGAUGUGUUUAAUAUACAUACUUCAAAAGGAAGAGGCCGAUUUCUGUUGAGCCGCAACUCUUCUGAAACCAUACAAAGUCGGAAAAAUUGUUAUAUGACGUAAAAGAGUUGUAAAGUAGUAAUGUAGACGGUAUUGAAUCCUUUCUUUUAGGAAACACGUCAAUUAGAUGAUGAUCAAGAUGACUGAAAAAAAUGCCAGAUAUAGAUAAUUCUGAAGAAAAAAACCCAAUUCUAGUCGGAAAAAAUGAAAACAGGCAUGGAAGAUAUAGAAACAAGAAAUAACUAUCAACACAACAGACCAAUACUCAAAACAGCGGUACUAAAUUUUAAUAUACAUAUAUUCAUAUCUCUUCAUGACAAGUUUUAUAGAUUGAACAUAUAUUUCGUUAAGGACUCUUAAAAUGCAGUCCGAAUAUUCUAGUUGUUAAUUCUUAAGUCAGAAAGAAUCCGAGAAUACAAGGACUUCGAUUAUAAUUGAAUUAUAGAAAACACUCCAAGAUUAAUACGACACCCACCAGAAGUCCAUGACCAGGAAGUGACUUUAAAACAUAAACAUUCUAUUCUUGUUUACUGUAGAAGCUUAUUAUAUACCAUAAGCUUGGUAGGAAAUAUUUAAAAAAGUAAAAUCACAAAAAUACUAAUUCCGUAGAAAAUUCAAAACGGAAAGUCUCUAAUCAAAUGGCAAAAUCAAAUGAUAAAACACAUCAAAGGAAUGGACAACAACUGUCAUAUUCCUGACUUGGUACAGGCAUUUUCAAAUGUUAAUUAUAUGCUGAUAAUUUUUAUAUUUUUCAAGUUAAUACAAUUUAUAGAUAAUUUCCAGCACAACAAAUAUAACAAUGAUAAUCUUCUACCAUGUAUGAUUGAACCACAGCUUGAGAAUUGUUUAUUGCAUAUUUGAUCAAGUUAGUAUUGAUAUUAUUUAUAGAUGAUAACACCACACAUGUCUUUAUUAUCAUUUGUUGAUUUAUUGACCAUCAGAUGUUCAACCAAACGUGUGAUGUUGGUGCAAUUAAAAUGCAGUUACAAAUGAAACAAGCAGAAUAAUACUAUGUAUAGUCUCGUUUAGAAUGAGUAAAUCAGAAAAAAAGAGAAUACCAAAUAUUUGGCGCUAACUUAAUGUAGUAAAUGAUUCAUAAUUGUUCUGUUUACUAAAAUUAGCUGGAAGGCUACCAUUUAGAGUGAAUACUGGUAUGUAAGAUUUUCACCAGAUAUCAAUAAAAAUAAAUCCAUUUUAUUGGCGCGUUACGUUACAUGUAUGAUAUUUGCUUAUGAAAAAAAAAAAAAAAAAAAAAAUACGCGAGAUUGUAUCUUUUCAAAUACAAUGCGCUCUCCAAUAAAACAUAUUUUUGAGUAAACUGAAAAUGUCAGCUGUUGCUGCGAAUUUGUAAAACAAGUUUGAAUAUUCAAUAUGUAGACAUAUUGUACAGAUAAGAAACGGUGGUGUUUGGGAGCACGUAACACCCCACAACAUUCUUUGGCUGCACUAAGACAGCCGGCUAUAUGGACCACAUGGUGUAAGUUAUUGUUUUUUUGUGUUAGGUUUUUUCUAUUGUACUUUCCAAAAAAUGUUGGUUAUUCCUGUUGAUCCUGUUACCCCUUUUUUGUAAUUUUAAAAAUUAACUAUCUAAAAGACAGACUGGGGAUUAUAUAUGUUUUGAUUGUAAAACAAAGGGAUAAUACAAAUCGCCAUAACAUAGAUUUUACUUCAUCAAGCCAAUAAAUAAGUUAAGUUAGUAAACUACACUGCACUUGCUUUAUUUCUAGUUUACUAUUUGUCAUGCACUUGACGGUACAACAACACUCAAUUAUAUGAUCCAUUCCCCUGUGGAAC